RNAcentral lists this ribosomal RNA (497 nucleotides) under uncultured bacterium. RNAcentral describes it as "partial 16S ribosomal RNA". It matches the Rfam family "Bacterial small subunit ribosomal RNA", at positions 28 to 507 of the family's 1533-position model. The record is from RNAcentral.
GAUGAACGCUGGCGGCGUGCCUAAUACAUGCAAGUCGAGCGAACGGACGAGAAGCUUUCUUCUCUGCUGUUAGCGGCUGACGGGUGAGUAACACGUGGAUAACCUACUUAUAUGACUUGGAUAAUUUCGUGAAACCGGAUCUAAUACCGCAUAAUAUUUUGUACCGCAUGGUUCAAAAGUUCAUGACGGUCUUGCCGUCACUUAUAGAUGGUUUCGGGUUGCAUUAGCUAGUUGGUAAGGUAACGGCUUACCAAGGCAACGAUGCAUAGCCGACCUGAGAGGAUGAUCAGCCACACUGGAACUGAGACACGGUCCAGACUCCUACGGGAGGCAGCAGUAGGGAAUCUUCCGCAAUGGGCGAAAGCCUGACGCAGCAACGCCGCGUGAGUGAUGAAGGUCUUCGGAUCGUAAAACUCUGUUAUUAGGAAAGAACAUAUGUAUAAGUAACUGUCCACAUCUUGACGGUACCUAAUCAAAAAGCAACGGCUAACUACGUG